CACAUGCUUAGAGUUAAGGACAUGCUUCAAUAUUUCCAGGAGCAGGGCCUGCCUUCUCCCAGUAGGGAAUUGUGCUCUUCCAGAGGCUUUUGCCCCAGCGUGCUUGUGGAAAUCUGUCCCUUUAAGUCUUGCAGAGCUGAACUGCUCCAGUCUUCCUGUAGCCAUUUUGCAAAUGCUGACUGCUGGGUGCCUGUUCUGGUUAGUACCUGUCCUGCUUUUCCACAUGUCUCUUCUUCCACCUCUGCAGCUCACGUGUGAUGAUCCAAAAAGGCUCACACAGAGGUGAAAAUCUGUCUGCCAAAGAGACAAGCUGACCUGCCUGAGGUGCACAGGAGGCCCGUGGUGUGACAGAGCUGCACUGGAAGAAGCCAACCUAAGCAGAGGCCAGAGAAACUUCAGGGUUUGGACCUGCUGGUUCCUGCAGCAGCACACUUCCUUGAGUAGUACCAAAAAUGAACUUUGUUUUGUGUCGUGACUUGUGGUUAGGUUCUUUGGUUUCCCGAAAAAUCAAACUGCAACCGAAACUCCGGCAGCAGUUUGGAUGUUCUUAAAUUUUUAUGCUGUCUGGAUUGUCUGAUACCAAUGGCUCCAAGAUUCUCUGCCUUGGCUAGACUUCCCUUAGCGGAAAUAGCACUUCCAUCCUUUCUCUCUGGCCAUCUGGUGAAAGUCAAACACCUUAAGAUCCUCUCUCAACAGUGGCCAAGUUAAAAGUUAAUUAGGAGGGACUUAGAGAAAGACACACAGGCUGUAUCACCCCAUCAGACUCACAUAUCACAGAACUUGCUGGGAACUGGGUGAGAUGGUCUAUGCAGACAUGGAGAAACACUUCUUGAUUUUGCCCCACUAUCAUUUCUGGAGCUUCUGGGUCUCUGCAGCACACACCUGUUGUAUCAUUCCCUCUGCCACAGCCCCAGUUUCUCCUGCUAGCUCCUCCAGCAAGAGCAAUUCUACAAAAUGUUCCUUCCUCUCUGCCAUCUCUGCACAGCAGCUUCCAGAGGAAAGAACAGCUGCAAAACCUAGUUCCCCCCUUCACACGUUGUAAGAAAGCAGGUACUUUCAUGCUCCAGAGAUGUCCCUGAACACUUCAGCUCAGGUGGGCAAAGCAGGACAGGCUUUGAAUGCAGAAAAUUGAGCACAUUAUCAGGGAGCUGUUGAGGUUUACAUCUCUACUACAGUUUUUAUGCUUAGAGCCCUACAAAGCUGAGAUGGUGUUAUCUGAAGUGUACAGAAGAAAUUGGUGCUACUUGUAGUAGAAUUUUUCUGCUUGCAAGGAGUUGAAAACGCUUUAAAUCACUGGAGCUUGUCUCAGGUACAAAGAACCUAACUGGGGUUUGAAGCACCAUUUAAAAUUGAGCAGAGAGGGAGUCAAAAGCCGAGGGCAUCUCAAAGAGUUAAAAGUCAUGAAUCUGGCAAAAGAAAAUGUGAGUCAAUGUCAAAAAGUUUACAAGCUGACCAUCUGAAAAUAUUUUGGGUUCAGUUCAACAGAUCAAAACAGCUGAUUUGACUUGAACUUUAAACCAAAUAAACAAACAAAAAUAUGUUUAGAAGCACAAAUUGUUUAAUUGUUGGAAGUGAACAGGCUUUCCUUCCACACAGUUUGAAAUGAACUGAUUCGAUUUUGCUGAUUCAAAACGUUUUCAGGAACUUGGGGAGACUUGGAUGUAUGGUGUGUUUAUUACAUAGUGAGAAUCUCAUGUGAUUUCUCUAGGAAGUCUAUGACUCGAAGGAUAAUAUCAUUACAGUGGAAUUGCAGGAUCUAACAAUAUUAUCCACAGGAUCUGAGGAACAAGGAUUAAAAGGACUUGGAAAUCCAUUUUCUCUGAUGAUACAGGCAUGUGAAUUUUGUCUAGAAGGCCAGAUCUUCUGUAGUUUAGCAGCACUGAGUCAUCCCACUGGCUUGUGUCAAUGUGAGGAUCUGGCCCUAACCUGAAAAUACUCCAAUGCUUUGUGAAAUGAUCUCAUUCAGUGAAAAAAAACAAACCUUGAUUGUCAGCAUGUGUCAUGCAGGAGCUGGGUUUUGGUUUGAUGCCAGUGCACUUUUUCACCAGUUCUGAGAUUGACAAAUUUAUUUCUUCCCAAGAAAUUAAAAAAAAAAACCUCUCUUCUCCUCCCUCCUACCCAUCUUUGCUCUUCUCCCAGCUGUCAUCACUGUUUACAGUUUGAGUAAGUGAAAAUAUAUAUUUACAAGUACAGCUUACUGCUGUGUUUGCUGGUAUAGACUGCCUGAGGGCAUAUCUAUGAAUCCAGCUCCCAUCUCCAUCCAGAAAUACACCCCCUCCUCUCGUCAGCCUUGCCCCUCCUCUGCCCUGUUGUCUUAAGCUGGGUGUUCAAUCUUUGCUCUUGGAUUCUGAGCUUUAUGGGAGGGAGGCUGGUGCCUUGCUUCGUGCCUGGACAUGAGCGCUGUCGGAUCUCAAGCACUGAGUGAUGCUCCCACCACUCCCCGGCGGGGAAGGCCAACCCUCCUGCCCUUAUCAAGCAUCUCCAGCUUGGAGAUCCUGCAGGCUGGAUUAACUGAGGUCACGGAGCAGGAGAAGUGUCAUGUGCCUGCUCUGCAGCUGACUUGCUUCACCUUGUGGGGCUGUGUGUGAAUGCAGACUUGGGAGAAGGUUUUAUUUUCAGCUGCAGCCUCGUGCUGUGGUCCUUCUCCCGACUGGACACGUGCCCAUCGGACAAUCCCACAGCAACCUGGUUGCCUGCCAGCCCCAGAUGCCAGAAGCAUGUCCCCACUUCCUCUCCCCUUACAUGAGGAAUUCUGCAGGGUCUCGUUCACUACAACCCAGAAAAGUUGUGUCUCACACAGUUUGGGGGCAGUGAGGCCAGAUCCUGACCAAGGCCUCCAGAUGUUAUUGCAAUAGUAAUGAAAAAUAUACCAUAACUAACCCAGUGAUGUACAAUACAUUUAAAAUUGUGCUUUUCAAAAGGGUUUAUAAAAAUGUUGCCAACACUCAUGGUCUUAUCAGAACUAGGCUCCAGUAUUGUGCAGAUGGUGUUUGUGGCAUUCCCAGUGCUCAGGACUUCGAGUCCUGUUGAGACCAAGGAAAAGCUGAUGGUUCUUGGAAAUUUUGCAGGAUUUCUCCUCAGAGAGAGGUCAGCUAGUCAGACAGGAGUGUCUGUUGGUUAAGUCACUAACCUGUGUUCAGUUCUAACUCCCCUGGGAAUUGCCUUUAUGAGUUUGGGAAAGACAUUAAGGACUUGUUUAUGCUGCUAAAGUUAACUUAAUUUUUUUUUGUACUGCAGCAUUACUGGUGAACAUGUAGCUGCUGCAUGUUAUGCCAGUAAAGACAAAAUAUGUUGGUUGUAGUCUGAGGUGUGUUUGCUGAAUUUGAUUCAGUAGCACAGUUGAAAGAUUUGUUUGUUUUGUAGCUAGAAUGCCUUUAGUGGAUCUGAGAUAAAAGAAGAAUGCAGCUUUUUAAAGCUACUUUUCUACCUGUGAAAUGGGAAUGAAAGUAAUUAAUCCCAAUGAUACUAUUGAGAUACUGUGGUUACUGUAAAAGCUAAGGGGCUAUAUUUGUGGUGGGAGCUGCUGUGGGAGAUGAAGAUAGCUCUGUACCCAAGGUUCCCUGGAUAUAUUCAAGUAUGGGCCAAAAUAUAUUUAGAUAUUUGUCUUAACUGCACAUUUCACUCAUCUCUGUCACAACAACUAAAAAUAAAAACUAGGGAAAACUAGGUUUUUGCUGGCCACUAUUUCCCUAGCUGCAGAACAUCUGUAAUAAGGGUUUGCAUGAACAUAGCUGCAAGUGAUGCUGCCGGACACAGACCUGGGAGACUCAUGGCUGAUGCAGACAGUGUUCAAGUGGUCUGUAGGUAGCUUGAACAGUGCUAGAGAAAGGUGUGAACCCACUCACCUCUCACCUCCAGGAGGACAUUAACAGUGGGGUUUGCUGAUAUUUUAGUAGAACAUAGGAUCACAGAACCACAGAAUGGCCUGGGUUGAAAGGCACCUUAAAGAUCAUCUGGUUCCAAUCCCCUGCCAUGGGCAGAGACACCUUCCACUGUCCCAGGUUGCUCAGAGCCCCAUCUAACCUGGCUUUCACAUAUUUUAGCUCGUCUAUGUGAACCAUGAUACUGAUUUUGCUAAUAAAAUUUAUCCAGACACUAA
Molecule: long non-coding RNA, 4099 nt
Organism: Corvus hawaiiensis (hawaiian crow)
Lineage: Eukaryota; Metazoa; Chordata; Aves; Passeriformes; Corvidae
Exons: 2
Source: RefSeq, a predicted model, not a curated record